This 23-nucleotide small nuclear RNA is filed under the name Arabidopsis thaliana (thale cress). Its description in RNAcentral is "snRNA_17027". The record is from RNAcentral. Lineage: Eukaryota; Viridiplantae; Streptophyta; Magnoliopsida; Brassicales; Brassicaceae.
GUUGCUUCCUUUUCGAGCAUCGU